RNAcentral lists this ribosomal RNA (397 nucleotides) under uncultured bacterium. Its description in RNAcentral is "partial 16S ribosomal RNA". It matches the Rfam family "Bacterial small subunit ribosomal RNA", at positions 523 to 918 of the family's 1533-position model. The record is from RNAcentral.
AUACGUAGGGGGCGAGCGUUGUCCGGAAUUAUUGGGCGUAAAGGGCGCGUAGGCGGGUUGGUAAGUUGGAUGUGAAAUCCCCGGGCUCAACCCGGGACGUGCAUACAAAACUGCCGAUCUUGAGUGCGGGAGAGGGAAGUGGAAUUCCUGGUGUAGCGGUAAAAUGCAUAGAUAUUAGGAGGAACACCGGUGGCGAAGGCGACUUCCUGGGCCGUAACUGACGCUGAGGCGCGAAAGCGUGGGGAGCAAACAGGAUUAGAUACCCUGGUAGUCCACGCUGUAAACGAUGAAUGCUAGGUGUAGGAGGUAUCAACUCCUUCUGUGCCGCAGCCAACGCAAUAAGCAUUCCGCCUGGGGAGUACGGCCGCAAGGUUGAAACUUAAAGGAAUUGACGGGG